This 137-nucleotide small RNA is filed under the name Devosia epidermidihirudinis. RNAcentral's name for it is "Alphaproteobacterial sRNA BjrC1505". It matches the Rfam family "Alphaproteobacterial sRNA BjrC1505". The record is from Rfam by way of RNAcentral. Lineage: Bacteria; Pseudomonadati; Pseudomonadota; Alphaproteobacteria; Hyphomicrobiales; Devosiaceae.
ACUCCUGUUAACCGGCAAUUAAACAUUGUCCGGUAACCUCAUGUUAUUCAGAUUUUUCUGAAUUUUGCAGAGUGGUUUCUCCCUCUGUUUGACGCCUCCCUGUUGACUUCGAGAGCGGUUUCGACCGCUCUUUUUUU